This 304-nucleotide small nuclear RNA is filed under the name Anolis carolinensis (green anole). RNAcentral's name for it is "7SK RNA". It matches the Rfam family "7SK RNA". Rfam says of the family: 7SK was discovered as an abundant small nuclear RNA in the mid-70s but a possible function has only recently been suggested. Two independent studies have found that 7SK RNA binds the CDK9/cyclin T complex (known as elongation factor P-TEFb). Lineage: Eukaryota; Metazoa; Chordata; Lepidosauria; Squamata; Anolidae. The record is from Rfam by way of RNAcentral.
GGAUGUGAGGGUGAUCUGGCUGCGACAUCUGUCACCCCAUUGAUCGCCAGGGUUGAUUCGGCUGAUCUGGCUGGCUAGGCGGGUGUCCCCUUCCUCCCUCACUGCUCCAUGUGCGUCCCUCCCGAAGCUGCGCGCUCGGUGGAAGAGGACGACGUCCCAGGUAUAGAAGGAGUGUACCGAGGUCUCCAGUCUUCGGUCUCGGGUAUACGAUAGCUGCGCUCCCCUGCUAGAACCUCCAAACAAGCUCAAGGAAGCUACUUAAGUUGCACUUUGAGCUCCUAUUUGAGGUACAUCAUCUCUAAUU